Molecule: ribosomal RNA, 351 nt
Filed under: uncultured soil bacterium
Lineage: Bacteria
Description: bacterial SSU rRNA
Rfam family: Bacterial small subunit ribosomal RNA
Source: RNAcentral
AGAACGAACGCUGGCGGCAUGCCUAAUACAUGCAAGUCGAACGAAGGCUUCGGCCUUAGUGGCGCACGGGUGCGUAACGCGUGGGAAUCUGCCCCUUGGUUCGGAAUAACAGUUGGAAACGACUGCUAAUACCGGAUGAUGACGAAAGUCCAAAGAUUUAUCGCCAAGGGAUGAGCCCGCGUAGGAUUAGCUAGUUGGUGAGGUAAAGGCUCACCAAGGCGACGAUCCUUAGCUGGUCUGAGAGGAUGAUCAGCCACACUGGGACUGAGACACGGCCCAGACUCCGUACGGGAGCAGCAGUAGGGAAUAUGGACAGUGGGCGAAGCCUGAUCCAGCAAUGCGCGUGAGUGA